This 380-nucleotide long non-coding RNA is filed under the name Drosophila guanche. Lineage: Eukaryota; Metazoa; Arthropoda; Insecta; Diptera; Drosophilidae. The record is from RNAcentral.
GUUUCGUAUUGCAGUCGAAGCAAUGCUUAUGUACAUAUGUACAUACAUUCUUACAUACAUAUGUACAUACAUACGUAUCGUAUAUGUAUCAUACUCUCUAUACUGCGUAUGCAUGAUGCAGCAGAGUUUUUUUGCUGCUGCUGUUGUUGUAAGACAUCUUCAAAAUUCAAAGACCAUGGCCAGUGACCAUCUCUACUUCAGUCCAUCAUAAUGCUGAAUUGCUGACAACGGGGCGUUGAUAAUAAUCAUUAUAAUGAAGGACCAUUAAAGGGACAAAUAAACAAAGCUAAGGCACAGAUUUGGCUACACACGCAGAAACACCAGCGAGUACUAUGGGUAAAAAGCCCAAAUUGUUGGCAUUAAUCCCAAAAGUAAAGAUA